GACGAACGCUGGCGGCGUGCUUAACACAUGCAAGUCGAACGGAAAAGCCCUGCUUUUGUGGGGUGCUCGAGUGGCGAACGGGUGAGUAACACGUGAGUAACCUGCCCUUGACUUUGGGAUAACUUCAGGAAACUGGGGCUAAUACCGGAUAGGAGCUCCUGCUGCAUGGUGGGGGUUGGAAAGUUUCGGCGGUUGGGGAUGGACUCGCGGCUUAUCAGCUUGUUGGUGGGGUAGUGGCUUACCAAGGCUUUGACGGGUAGCCGGCCUGAGAGGGUGACCGGCCACAUUGGGACUGAGAUACGGCCCAGACUCCUACGGGAGGCAGCAGUGGGGAAUAUUGCACAAUGGGCGGAAGCCUGAUGCAGCAACGCCGCGUGCGGGAUGACGGCCUUCGGGUUGUAAACCGCUUUCGCCUGUGACGAAGCGUGAGUGACGGUAAUGGGUAAAGAAGCAUCGGCUAACUACGUG
RNAcentral lists this ribosomal RNA (468 nucleotides) under uncultured bacterium. RNAcentral's name for it is "partial 16S ribosomal RNA". It matches the Rfam family "Bacterial small subunit ribosomal RNA", at positions 28 to 507 of the family's 1533-position model. The record is from RNAcentral.